This 366-nucleotide ribosomal RNA is filed under the name uncultured bacterium. Its description in RNAcentral is "bacterial SSU rRNA". It matches the Rfam family "Bacterial small subunit ribosomal RNA", at positions 155 to 507 of the family's 1533-position model. The record is from RNAcentral.
AACCGGAGCUAAUACCGGAUAAUAUUUCGAACUGCAUGGUUCGAUAGUGAAAGAUGGCUUUGCUAUCACUUAUAGAUGGACCUGCGCCGUAUUAGCUAGUUGGUAAGGUAACGGCUUACCAAGGCAACGAUACGUAGCCGGACCUGAGAGGGUGAUCGGCCACACUGGAACUGAGACACGGUCCAGACUCCUACGGGAGGCAGCAGUAGGGAAUCUUCCGCAAUGGGCGAAAGCCUGACGGAGCAACGCCGCGUGAGUGAUGAAGGUCUUCGGAUCGUAAAACUCUGUUAUUAGGGAAGAACAAACGUGUAAGUAACUGUGCACGUCUUGACGGUACCUAAUCAGAAAGCCACGGCUAACUACGUG